AAUAGAUACCCAGGUAGUCCACACCGUAAACGAUGAGUGCUAGGUGUUGGGGGUCGAACCUCAGUGCCGCAGCUAACGCAUUAAGCACUCCGCCUGGGGAGUACGCACGCAAGUGUGAAACUCAAAGGAAUUGACGGGGACCCGCACAAGCAGCGGAGCAUGUGGUUUAAUUCGAAGCAACGCGAAGAACCUUACCUGGACUUGACAUCCCUCUGACCGACCCUUAAUCGGGUCCUCCCUUCGGGGCAGAGGAGACAGGUGGUGCAUGGUUGUCGUCAGCUCGUGUCGUGAGAUGUUGGGUUAAGUCCCGCAACGAGCGCAACCCUCGUCUUUAGUUGCCAGCAGUUCGGCUGGGCACUCUAGAGAGACUGCCGGGGAUAACUCGGAGGAAGGUGGGGAUGACGUCAAAUCAUCAUGCCCCUUAUGUUCAGGGCUACACACGUGCUACAAUGGCCAAUACAAAGGGUUGCCAAAGAGUAAUCUGGAGCUAAUCCCAUAAAGUUGGUCCCAGUUCGGAUUGUGGCUGAAACUCG
RNAcentral lists this ribosomal RNA (533 nucleotides) under uncultured bacterium. RNAcentral describes it as "bacterial SSU rRNA". It matches the Rfam family "Bacterial small subunit ribosomal RNA", at positions 777 to 1314 of the family's 1533-position model. The record is from RNAcentral.